AUCAAAGACAAUAAGAGCAAAAGACGUGAAUUUGGAACAAGUGGCCAUGAAAGUAUAGUUGACGACUUGUCUGAUAAGUUGUCAAAUUUGUGAUAAGUUAUCAGAGUCAUCGUCAGCUAUAGACAGUGUGAGAAGGUUGGAGUAGAAGUGUGACGACAUCUCUGACAAGUCGUCACAAUUCAGAUAAGCCGUCGAGAAUGCCGUCAGCCUAAGGCAGUACAUGAGAUUUGAAG
This 233-nucleotide long non-coding RNA is filed under the name Capsicum annuum. Its description in RNAcentral is "long non-coding RNA (CANN_LNC007268)". The record is from RNAcentral. Lineage: Eukaryota; Viridiplantae; Streptophyta; Magnoliopsida; Solanales; Solanaceae.